RNAcentral lists this long non-coding RNA (1183 nucleotides) under Oryctolagus cuniculus (rabbit). RNAcentral's name for it is "lncRNA (ENSOCUG00000036253.1)". The record is from RNAcentral. Lineage: Eukaryota; Metazoa; Chordata; Mammalia; Lagomorpha; Leporidae.
AUGGCGCCUCCUCUAGCCUCUUCGCCUCAUGUCGUACACUCAGUUCCGAUAGCAGCGCUUCCCGGUCCCCCACCGCGACCGGGUCCCCUGCAGCGUGCCCUGAGCCUGUUCUGCACAGGCCCCGCCUCCCGAGGGAGCAGGGGCGGAGCCUCCUCCUGCCCCGCCCUGCGGACGUGUGUGCCUCUGCUGGGCUGCACGCCUAGCCACGCUGGAGGCCACGGAGAGUCCGUGGGUCGAGACCUCCACCAUACCCUGCUCCGAGGGCCCGUCCUGUCCUGUCCUGUCCACAUGGCUCCCUCUGUGGCCUCAGGACGCUCUCGGCUGGUUCUGCGGCUUCCCUGUAUGAAAGACGGCCGUGGUUGGCUAUUCUACUUGGCGUCCAGAUCCCUCACCCGUCUGUGGAUGGAGACAGAGACUGAAGGACCAGGAACUCCUACAAUACCCUGGGAAAUGGAGCCUGCCCCACUCCAAUAGCCAGCAGAGGCAGGUGAGAGAAACUGAAUAUGCAGAUUCUUAGAAACUAAAUAUGCAGGAAUUCUUAGCUACAAAGACAAGUAGGUGGGCAAGAGAACAUUUGAGAAAACCCAACACUGUGAGGAAAAGACAUCCAACAUAGCAUCACAGAAUGACAGCCUGAGGAAACCCAGAGAAGUUAGAGAAAAGAUAACAGCUAAGACGUCUACCUUCUGAGCGGUAACAGAGGCAACUUCAUCCAGAAAAAACUAAUCAUUCACAGUAGAAACUGAAGACUGACUUCAAAAACUCCAUAGAUGGGAUGAAAGCAACAUAAACACGGCUAAGAGUGGGAGUGACCCCAAGGAACUCUAAAGCUUAUCCUGAAAGGACAAAGGGACGAUGGAUAUGGGUUACAAAUCAGGAGACCUGGAGGACAGAGCCGGAAGUUCCAAGUCUCUGGAAUAGGAGCUCCAAGAGGAAAGAAAGGGCAAAAUGAUAAAAUAGGGGUGAGGGAGAGGGGAGUCCAAGGCAGAAGAGAGAAUGCUAGAAAAUGACAGCAUUUCCUCCAGCAUUCCGAGGGCAACAUUGUGAUCUGGAUUCCUAUACCCAGCCAAACUAGCAUGUGUGUAUGAACACAAACCAAAGGCACUUCUAAGAAUCCAAAAGUAAGAGAGAAAGAGUACAACAAGUAAUGCAGAGGGAAAUAAAGUCAUUACUUAGGAGUUCA